GUGGAUUAGAUACCCUGGUAGUCCUAGCCGUAAACGAUGGAUACUAGGUGUUGUGAGUAUCGACCCUCACAGUGCCGGAGCCAACGCGUUAAGUAUCCCGCCUGGGGAGUACGCACGCAAGUGUGAAACUCAAAGGAAUUGACGGGGGCCCGCACAAGCGGUGGAGUAUGUGGUUUAAUUCGAUGCAACGCGAAGAACCUUACCAGGACUUGACAUGUCGCGAAUCCUCUUGAAAGGGAGGAGUGCCUUCGGGAGCGCGAACACAGGUGGUGCACGGCUGUCGUCAACU
Molecule: ribosomal RNA, 289 nt
Filed under: uncultured bacterium
Lineage: Bacteria
Description: partial 16S ribosomal RNA
Rfam family: Bacterial small subunit ribosomal RNA
Source: RNAcentral